CGCGACCCCAGGUCAGGCGGGACUACCCGCUGAGUUUAAGCAUAU
RNAcentral lists this ribosomal RNA (45 nucleotides) under Alnus incana subsp. rugosa. RNAcentral describes it as "25S ribosomal RNA". RNAcentral also lists the same sequence under 1 other name. The record is from RNAcentral. Lineage: Eukaryota; Viridiplantae; Streptophyta; Magnoliopsida; Fagales; Betulaceae.